This 253-nucleotide ribosomal RNA is filed under the name uncultured bacterium. RNAcentral describes it as "partial 16S ribosomal RNA". It matches the Rfam family "Bacterial small subunit ribosomal RNA", at positions 524 to 776 of the family's 1533-position model. The record is from RNAcentral.
UACGUAGGUGGCAAGCGUUGUCCGGAUUUACUGGGCGUAAAGAGCGCGCAGGCGGUCGUUCAAGUCGCGUGUGAAAGCCCCCGGCUCAACUGGGGAGGGUCACGCGAUACUGAUCGACUCGAAGGCAGGAGAGGGUAGUGGAAUUCCCGGUGUAGUGGUGAAAUGCGUAGAUAUCGGGAGGAACACCAGUGGCGAAGGCGGGUCUCUGGGCAAUUCCUGACGCUGAGGCGCGAAAGCGUGGGGAGCAAACGGG